RNAcentral lists this long non-coding RNA (261 nucleotides) under Callithrix jacchus (white-tufted-ear marmoset). Its description in RNAcentral is "lncRNA (ENSCJAG00000080166.1)". Lineage: Eukaryota; Metazoa; Chordata; Mammalia; Primates; Cebidae. The record is from RNAcentral.
UGUCCUCCUUAUAUUUGUUCUAGGUAUCUUCUUCUACAAAAAGAAAAUGAAGAAAACCUACAUAACUCAAUAGCAAUAGAAGUCCAUGUGAAAAAAAUUAUUCUGAAAGGUUCGUUCUUUGUCACCACGGUUGGAUGCAGAGGUGCAAUCCAGGCUCACCACAGCCCCAAACACUCAGGCUCAAAUGAUCCUCCCACUUCAGCUUCCCGAGGAGCUGGGAUUACAGAUAUCUUUGGAUUUAUAGCAUCUCCUACUUUUUAG